RNAcentral lists this long non-coding RNA (714 nucleotides) under Marmota monax (woodchuck). The record is from RNAcentral. Lineage: Eukaryota; Metazoa; Chordata; Mammalia; Rodentia; Sciuridae.
GGAACAUCAUGGUUUAUUAGCGAACAACAAAGAUCCCUGUUAAAGCAUUUUGAUUGACAGUCUGACUUUGCUGCCCAUUAUAGACAUAAUGUCUAUAAUGGAUGGACAAUCAGAGGCCCUCAGAGGUCCAGACUCUGCUAUUCUGGAAUUCUGUCAUCCCCAAUGAUAAUGUGGAGACCAGUUUUAUGGCAAUACCUCCAACCACCAGUCCUGUUUAUGAAGACAGCGUCUAUCAAAUUUCUAGUCUGUCAGUACCCCUCUCACCUUUGUAUUCCUUAUUGAUUUGAUUAAGGGAGUGUUUUCCAGGUCCCCUCAGUGACCAUAGCCAGGCGAUAGAUUUCUAGAUCUUACAUAAUAAACUAAUUCUAACAGCCUCGUCUCCAAAAAACCAAAAAAGUUCUAGCAUCCCUUCCUCAUUAACUGGAGCCCAUUGGCACAUACAAGCUUUAAGGACUCAGUUUAAGAUUUUUAGAAUUCUCUUGAGAUUUUUAUUGCCCAGCAUUGAAAUCCAAGUCAUGAAUGAACUCUCCUUUGUCAAUAAAUGUUCCCUAUCCAGUCUUACCAGCUGCUUUCCUGUUCCAGGUUAGCACUCCUGAGAUCUACCUCCCUGGGUCCUGCAAAUGCUUGGGAAUGCAGAUCAACCCUCCUGAAGCAUAGAUUGUGCUGACAUCAGUACCACCUGAUCAGAUUGUCCUGAUCAGACUGGGAGGCAGG